AGCGUACACGGUGGAUGCCCUGGCAGUCAGAGGCGAUGAAGGACGUGCUAAUCUGCGAUAAGCGUCGGUGAGGUGAUAUGAACCGUUAUAACCGGCGAUUUCCGAAUGGGGAAACCCAGUGUGAUUCGUCACACUAUCAUUAACUGAAUCCAUAGGUUAAUGAGGCGAACCGGGGGAACUGAAACAUCUAAGUACCCCGAGGAAAAGAAAUCAACCGAGAUUCCCCCAGUAGCGGCGAGCGAACGGGGAGGAGCCCAGAGCCUGAAUCAGUGUGUGUGUUAGUGGAAGCGUCUGGAAAGGCGCGCGAUACAGGGUGACAGCCCCGUACACAAAAAUGCACAUAUUGUGAGCUCGAUGAGUAGGGCGGGACACGUGGUAUCCUGUCUGAAUAUGGGGGGACCAUCCUCCAAGGCUAAAUACUCCUGACUGACCGAUAGUGAACCAGUACCGUGAGGGAAAGGCGAAAAGAACCCCGGCGAGGGGAGUGAAAAAGAACCUGAAACCGUGUACGUACAAGCAGUGGGAGCCUCUUUUAUGGGGUGACUGCGUACCUUUUGUAUAAUGGGUCAGCGACUUAUAUUCUGUAGCAAGGUUAACCGAAUAGGGGAGCCGAAGGGAAACCGAGUCUUAACUGGGCGUUAAGUUGCAGGGUAUAGACCCGAAACCCGGUGAUCUAGCCAUGGGCAGGUUGAAGGUUGGGUAACACUAACUGGAGGACCGAACCGACUAAUGUUGAAAAAUUAGCGGAUGACUUGUGGCUGGGGGUGAAAGGCCAAUCAAACCGGGAGAUAGCUGGUUCUCCCCGAAAGCUAUUUAGGUAGCGCCUCGUGAAUUCAUCUCCGGGGGUAGAGCACUGUUUCGGCAAGGGGGUCAUCCCGACUUACCAACCCGAUGCAAACUGCGAAUACCGGAGAAUGUUAUCACGGGAGACACACGGCGGGUGCUAACGUCCGUCGUGAAGAGGGAAACAACCCAGACCGCCAGCUAAGGUCCCAAAGUCAUGGUUAAGUGGGAAACGAUGUGGGAAGGCCCAGACAGCCAGGAUGUUGGCUUAGAAGCAGCCAUCAUUUAAAGAAAGCGUAAUAGCUCACUGGUCGAGUCGGCCUGCGCGGAAGAUGUAACGGGGCUAAACCAUGCACCGAAGCUGCGGCAGCGACACUAUGUGUUGUUGGGUAGGGGAGCGUUCUGUAAGCCUGCGAAGGUGUACUGUGAGGUAUGCUGGAGGUAUCAGAAGUGCGAAUGCUGACAUAAGUAACGAUAAAGCGGGUGAAAAGCCCGCUCGCCGGAAGACCAAGGGUUCCUGUCCAACGUUAAUCGGGGCAGGGUGAGUCGACCCCUAAGGCGAGGCCGAAAGGCGUAGUCGAUGGGAAACAGGUUAAUAUUCCUGUACUUGGUGUUACUGCGAAGGGGGGACGGAGAAGGCUAUGUUGGCCGGGCGACGGUUGUCCCGGUUUAAGCGUGUAGGCUGGUUUUCCAGGCAAAUCCGGAAAAUCAAGGCUGAGGCGUGAUGACGAGGCACUACGGUGCUGAAGCGACAAAUGCCCUGCUUCCAGGAAAAGCCUCUAAGCAUCAGGUAACAUUAAAUCGUACCCCAAACCGACACAGGUGGUCAGGUAGAGAAUACCAAGGCGCUUGAGAGAACUCGGGUGAAGGAACUAGGCAAAAUGGUGCCGUAACUUCGGGAGAAGGCACGCUGAUAUGUAGGUGAAGCGACUUGCUCGUGGAGCUGAAAUCAGUCGAAGAUACCAGCUGGCUGCAACUGUUUAUUAAAAACACAGCACUGUGCAAACACGAAAGUGGACGUAUACGGUGUGACGCCUGCCCGGUGCCGGAAGGUUAAUUGAUGGGGUUAGCGGCAACGCGAAGCUCUUGAUCGAAGCCCCGGUAAACGGCGGCCGUAACUAUAACGGUCCUAAGGUAGCGAAAUUCCUUGUCGGGUAAGUUCCGACCUGCACGAAUGGCGUAAUGAUGGCCAGGCUGUCUCCACCCGAGACUCAGUGAAAUUGAACUCGCUGUGAAGAUGCAGUGUACCCGCGGCAAGACGGAAAGACCCCGUGAACCUUUACUAUAGCUUGACACUGAACAUUGAGCCUUGAUGUGUAGGAUAGGUGGGAGGCUUUGAAGUGUGGACGCCAGUCUGCAUGGAGCCGACCUUGAAAUACCACCCUUUAAUGUUUGAUGUUCUAACGUGGGCCCGUAAUCCGGGUUGCGGACAGUGUCUGGUGGGUAGUUUGACUGGGGCGGUCUCCUCCUAAAGAGUAACGGAGGAGCACGAAGGUUGGCUAAUCCUGGUCGGACAUCAGGAGGUUAGUGCAAUGGCAUAAGCCAGCUUGACUGCGAGCGUGACGGCGCGAGCAGGUGCGAAAGCAGGUCAUAGUGAUCCGGUGGUUCUGAAUGGAAGGGCCAUCGCUCAACGGAUAAAAGGUACUCCGGGGAUAACAGGCUGAUACCGCCCAAGAGUUCAUAUCGACGGCGGUGUUUGGCACCUCGAUGUCGGCUCAUCACAUCCUGGGGCUGAAGUAGGUCCCAAGGGUAUGGCUGUUCGCCAUUUAAAGUGGUACGCGAGCUGGGUUUAGAACGUCGUGAGACAGUUCGGUCCCUAUCUGCCGUGGGCGCUGGAGAACUGAGGGGGGCUGCUCCUAGUACGAGAGGACCGGAGUGGACGCAUCACUGGUGUUCGGGUUGUCAUGCCAAUGGCACUGCCCGGUAGCUAAAUGCGGAAGAGAUAAGUGCUGAAAGCAUCUAAGCACGAAACUUGCCCCGAGAUGAGUUCU
RNAcentral lists this ribosomal RNA (2774 nucleotides) under Escherichia coli. RNAcentral's name for it is "bacterial LSU rRNA". It matches the Rfam family "Bacterial large subunit ribosomal RNA". The record is from RNAcentral. Lineage: Bacteria; Pseudomonadati; Pseudomonadota; Gammaproteobacteria; Enterobacterales; Enterobacteriaceae.